ACACUGCCCAAUUCAAAAUAAAAAUAAAUGUCAUAUAAUUUGCAUACCAAUAAUAAAUAUGAAAUUGCAUACCCAUCAUAAAUGUGCAAUCAAUUACAUAUGCACCGCCAACUGCAUCUGCAUAAGGAGCCAUGUACCCUAACAAUAAAAUAUGAAAGUUUUCAGAGGGAAUAAAAAAAUAGGUAUGUUACCAGUUGCAAUGAGGCUCUCUCCUG
Molecule: unclassified non-coding RNA, 215 nt
Filed under: Hevea brasiliensis (rubber tree)
Lineage: Eukaryota; Viridiplantae; Streptophyta; Magnoliopsida; Malpighiales; Euphorbiaceae
Source: RNAcentral